This 462-nucleotide ribosomal RNA is filed under the name uncultured Streptococcus sp. Its description in RNAcentral is "bacterial SSU rRNA". It matches the Rfam family "Bacterial small subunit ribosomal RNA", at positions 920 to 1382 of the family's 1533-position model. The record is from RNAcentral. Lineage: Bacteria; Bacillati; Bacillota; Bacilli; Lactobacillales; Streptococcaceae.
CCCGCGACAGGCGGUGGAGCAUGUGGUUUAAUUCGAAGCAACGCGAAGAACCUUACCAGGUCUUGACAUCCCGAUGCUAUUUCUAGAGAUAGAAAGUUACUUCGGUACAUCGGUGACAGGUGGUGCAUGGUUGUCGUCAGCUCGUGUCGUGAGAUGUUGGGUUAAGUCCCGCAACGAGCGCAACCCCUAUUGUUAGUUGCCAUCAUUCAGUUGGGCACUCUAGCGAGACUGCCGGUAAUAAACCGGAGGAAGGUGGGGAUGACGUCAAAUCAUCAUGCCCCUUAUGACCUGGGCUACACACGUGCUACAAUGGUUGGUACAACGAGUUGCGAGUCGGUGACGGCGAGCUAAUCUCUUAAAGCCAAUCUCAGUUCGGAUUGUAGGCUGCAACUCGCCUACAUGAAGUCGGAAUCGCUAGUAAUCGCGGAUCAGCACGCCGCGGUGAAUACGUUCCCGGGCCUU